CCUACGGGUGGCAGCAGUGGGGAAUAUUGCGCAAUGGGCGAAAGCCUGACGCAGCGACGCCGCGUGAGGGAUGAAGGUCCUCGGAUCGUAAACCCCUGUCAGCAGGGAAGAACGGUCACUGUGCUAAUCAGCAGCGAAUUGACGGUACCUGCAAAGGAAGCACCGGCUUACUCCGUGCCAGCAGCCGCGGUAAUACGGAGGGUGCGUGCGUUAAUCGGAAUUUCUGGGCGUAAAGCGCUCGGAGGCGGUAUGUUAAGUCAAGGGUGAAAUCCCCGCGCUCAACGUGGGAACUGCCUUUGAAACUGGCAAACUGGAGUGUGUGAGAGGAAAGUGGAAUGCCAGGUGUAGGAGUGAA
This 355-nucleotide ribosomal RNA is filed under the name uncultured bacterium. RNAcentral's name for it is "partial 16S ribosomal RNA". It matches the Rfam family "Bacterial small subunit ribosomal RNA", at positions 338 to 685 of the family's 1533-position model. The record is from RNAcentral.